GGCGGUGUAGCUCAGCUGGCUAGAGCGUACGGUUCAUACCCGUGAGGGCGGGGGUUCGAUCCCCUCCACCGCCACUA
Molecule: transfer RNA, 77 nt
Filed under: Staphylococcus aureus
Lineage: Bacteria; Bacillati; Bacillota; Bacilli; Caryophanales; Staphylococcaceae
Description: tRNA-Met
Rfam family: tRNA
About the family: Transfer RNA (tRNA) molecules are approximately 80 nucleotides in length. Their secondary structure includes four short double-helical elements and three loops (D, anti-codon, and T loops).
Source: RNAcentral